RNAcentral lists this ribosomal RNA (1626 nucleotides) under Triticum aestivum (bread wheat). RNAcentral's name for it is "partial small subunit ribosomal RNA". Lineage: Eukaryota; Viridiplantae; Streptophyta; Magnoliopsida; Poales; Poaceae. The record is from RNAcentral.
AUGCCCCGGAAGCUGCGGGCGCUCCGCAAGAGCCACGCCCUCGCCGGAGCCGCCCCUAAUGCCGACCUCGUCCGUAUCCCCUCCGCACGGGUAUCCACCCCAGCUCAAACCCUCGCUUCGGUGGCGACACAGGCUCGCGAUGACGCGGAGAAGCGGCGGGUGGUCGGUGUGGUGGUGGGAAAGGGCUGCUUGAAGCGGUCGGUGGGUGGUGCCAGCGGCGGGGGUUCCGGUUCGUCCAAAAAGGUGAGCUUUGUGUUGGAGCCCCAGGUGCGGGUCAUGUCACCAGCUGCUGCCAACACAAGGGGGACGCGGAAGGGCGGGGAGACCGUUCCUGUUCCUGGUGAUGACGGUGCUGACGUAGGCGGAGGGAGGCCUCGUCGUCAAACCCGUGUCCAACUUGGUGGUGGUUCUGCUCCAGUGGUAGGGGCACAUGCUCCGGUUAGGCGGUCUAAGAGGAUUGCGAUGAAUUUGGGUGCUGGAGUUGAGCAGCUUACUGCUCCGGCUAAAGCAAUUUCGGCAGCUCCGGCACCUACUGAUUUAGCACAUUCUAACAUAGUUGGAAGUAAUGCUCCCAAGGCUGAGGAAGAAGAUGAGGUAGAAGAAACUGUUGGCAAGACGCGGAACAAGAAGAGAAAGUGCAUGGAUAGUUCUGUGCAUAUGAUUCUCAAUGCACAAAUUGGAGUUCCUCGUAGAUGCACAAGGUCGAGCGGCCGGCUACCAGCAGCCCCUUUGGUAUGCUCUCAUGUGCUUGAGAAGAGAGGGCGGAUGAAGGUAACAUAUGUUAAGGAACAGACAUGUGUUGAGGAGCAACCUGCUGAAGAUCAAGACUUAGGUAGAACACUAAAUUUUGGAUUAAUUGCUCUUGAGAGCAAGAGAAGUUGCAGCAAGGUGCAAGAAGAUGAACUUGCUGCGCAAAGGGCUGCUAAGGAGGAAACAUCAGGUAGGGCCACAAGAUCAAGCUCAAUAGCAGCUGCUAUGAUGUCUCCCACUGUCGUUGAGUACAGGAGGACAAGGAACACAGAAGAUGCACGCUCUGAUGGGGAGAUGCCUAUAAAGGAUGCUCCUGUUCUCGGUGGUUUAAGGAGUAGAGCUGGUCAGGGUAACAAUGGUGUGGUGGAGGAAAGUCACUUUGUCAAGAAAUUGGGAAAUAGGAGGGGACCCAGUAAACCAACUACUUGCAUCAACAGGCAUCAACAGCUUGCAUCUUCUAUAGAGGAAGAAUAUCAAGAACACGGUGUUGCUCCCUUUAAGGCCCCUCCACUGAGGCAAUCUAGGCGAAACCAUUCCGCUGCCAGAGAAUUGUCGUCCACGCACAAUGCGGCAAAUGAUGGCAUAGAGGAUAAUGUGGCGAAGGAAGACGAACAUUUGGAGUUACCAAGGAAUGGCAGAGCUAAGGAUUGUGCCGGUGCAGAGGAGCAAGUGGCCGAGGUGGUAGUGAGAAAAGGGUGUUUGAAGCAUCCAGGGGCUGAUGCGAGCAGUGGCAGCUCCAGUGCUGCCAAAAAGGUGAGAUUUGUGUUGGUGGAGCAGGUAGAAGCGGAGAUGGUUGGAUUCAGGAGGCCAUGGGUAACAUGGUCCCCGGUUGUUGCCAAGACAAGGGGUAGGCAGAAGGCCAGUGUGACUCUUUAG